This 321-nucleotide ribosomal RNA is filed under the name uncultured Pseudomonadota bacterium. RNAcentral describes it as "bacterial SSU rRNA". It matches the Rfam family "Bacterial small subunit ribosomal RNA", at positions 30 to 351 of the family's 1533-position model. The record is from RNAcentral. Lineage: Bacteria; Pseudomonadati; Pseudomonadota.
AUUGAACGCUGGCGGAAUGCUUUACACAUGCAAGUCGGGCGGCAGCAUGGACUUCGGUCUGAUGGCGAGCGGCGAACGGGUGAGUAAUAUAUCGGAACGUGCCCAGUAGUGGGGGAUAGCCCGGCGAAAGCCGGAUUAAUACCGCAUACGACCUACGGGUGAAAGCGGGGGAUCGCAAGACCUCGCGCUAUUGGAGCGGCCGAUAUCAGAUUAGGUAGUUGGUGGGGUAAAGGCCUACCAAGCCUACGAUCUGUAGCUGGUCUGAGAGGACGACCAGCCACACUGGGACUGAGACACGGCCCAGACUCCUACGGGAGGCAG